Non-coding RNA from Pongo abelii (Sumatran orangutan), 148 nucleotides. The record is from Rfam. NCBI's taxonomy places the organism in Eukaryota, Metazoa, Chordata, Mammalia, Primates, Hominidae.
GCCGGGUGUGGUGGCACAUACCUGUAAUCCCAGCUACUCAGGAGGCUGAGGCAGGAGAAUCACUUGAACCCGGGAGGCGGAGGUUGCAGUGAGCUGAGAUCAUGACACUGCACCCCAGCCUGGGUGACAAAGCGAGACUCUGUCUCAA